RNA transcript from Brienomyrus brachyistius, 3735 nucleotides. RefSeq lists it as uncharacterized. The record is from RefSeq and is a predicted model, not a curated record. The transcript has 2 exons. Lineage: Eukaryota; Metazoa; Chordata; Actinopteri; Osteoglossiformes; Mormyridae.
AUAUAUACACACACACAAAUAGAAUAUAUGUUAUAUAUUAGAUAAGUGGCAGAAAAAUCGAUGGAUGGAUGGAACUGUAUGAAAAAUAAUGCUGCUUAUGAAAGUAGGUAAGUAAGAAUUUCAGGUUAGAAUUCCAUUGUACCUUGUACGCAUGACACUGCUUUCUUAAAAACUUAUACUGCCAUUAAAUUUUGAAGACGCUGUACAAAGGAGGACACAAUAGUGUUCGGAAUAUUUUUUUCUUGUCUGUGAAAAUAUACAGCUCUUCUGGACACUCAUUCUUAAAAAAAUCAGAUGCUACUUUAAUACUAUCUGUACCGUUAGUAAAGACAAUGUUCCGUGACAAAACGUGACCAUACUGCCACGCCAAUUUCUGGUGGCACUGCACCUCGCGCAUGCGUCUUGUUAUCCUCAUGUAAGUGCACAGACGAAGCCGGAAUCAACACAGAUAGGCCGUAAGGUGAAGCAGCUUUUCGUUUCAUUCCGUUCCCAUAUAUGGGGCACUACACUCUUUUUAUUCCAAUAAAAAGAUCAAUUGGUAUAGAAUGAAAAAAUAAAAGUUCUCCCUGUAUAAUCCAGCAGUUAUUUUUUAACAAGUGUAUAAAGUUGGCAAUAGUCCCAUCCUCGCGUAAUCAUUUUUUAAAGGUGAGAGAUGCGGCUUCGCGUCACGUGCUUGCCGCUAGACCAAUGAGAUGGCAUUACGUCGGAACGACAUGUAAACAUGGUCCAAGAUGGCAGCGCCCUUGUCGUCACUAUCGAGUAGCGAAGAGGAUAAAAUUAUUGUCAGACCUCCACCAAAAGUCAGUAAAAGGGUUUAUAAACAAUGCUAUAUGCAUCUCACGUCCAUAAAAAAAGAAGAAGCGAAGGAUUUUACACGCACACGGUGGGAUACAUUUAGAAACUGCAUCAAACGGUGGCUUGACUUGCAGGGUGAGAGUCAGAAAAUAGCAGAAACAUAUAAACAUUGUCUAGAAAUCGAGUUUGACCGUGUGCCCAAAGACACAGGGUUUCACUCCAUUUGCUACCGGCGUUUUAUUGACAAAAAGCGCUUGGAUGCGGCCGAGAAACGAGUUUCACGGCGUCCUGAAGCUGGUGAUGAUCAUAACACAGACCAGUCUGUGUCAUCGGGAAAUAGUAUUUCGUCAACGUAUUGCCCAACAAAAAAACUUAGGUCCAGUACCGGACUGCUGAUAGCUUGUUCGGGUUCUGUACUUCCUGCUUUGUGCAUAAUUUGCAAGAAAACGGACAAGUACAUCACUGUGGCAGGCAAACGCCAGAAGGACAAUCUUUCACAAGCGGAGACGCUGUCGGCAGGUAUAAAGCACACAAGCACACGUUUGAACUUAAAGUUAUAUGCCAUAUGCUGAGAACCAUAACUAACUUUCAAAUACAUCAAUAUUUACAUUACAUGUACAUUAUAAUGUUUAUAGUGCAGUCAGUUUUUGCAUACACAUAUGCAUGAACAGUCAGAACUGUUAUGUUUUUUUAAAUACAUAUUUAUUACAGGCCAGUUGCUCAAAGCAGCUGAGAUGAAGGAAGACACUAGCAUUCUUGUGCAUAUUAAAGACAAAGACUGUGUCUCUGGAAGUAUGAUAUCACAAGUCCUGUUACAGACAGUACACCAGGUUCUUGACAAAGUCUACUGGAACAAAUACACAGACCUCAGAAGAACACAAUGAGCCAACCUAUGAUGUCAGCUACAAGAUCUUCUCUGAGAGAAUCAUCUGCCAUCGAAUAAUUGUAAACCAAGAGGUGAUGACAAUGACACAGCUAAGAAAAAUGUUUUUAAAUCUUGUAAAAAGCCAUGAAGAUCUUGAUGCUUCAAACUACAGGUAAUUUAAAUACCCUAAGUUUGUUUUGCAGAUUUGGAAUAAACAUUUACGCAAACUUUUUCUCAGAAAAAUUUAAUAAAUAAUAAUAUUCAUAUUAUUAUUAUUAUCAUAUUAAAUAUUCAUAUAAUAUUCUGUUUAGUUGACAGAGUACCAGUAAAUGGAGCUAUACUUUUUGAUGGCAUGACAGUCAUUCAAGCCUUUCAGUCCAUACCAAGUACCUUCGGGGAGCUUGCUGACACUAUUCUACAGUACUUAGUCAAGCUUGCUCUCAAGCACAACUGUACACGGAUAGAUUUUGUGAUAGACAAGUAUCCAGAAAUUAGUAUUAAAAAUGUAGAAUGAUCACGCAGAGCUGUUGGUGGCACACAACAGGUAAAAAUUUAUGGACGGGAUCAAAAGACACCAACACAAUCGAAGAAGUUUCUGUCGGAUGGGGCAAACAAAGAAGCACUGGCAGAAUUCCUCUAUGUAAUGUGGCGAGACGCUGAUCUUACCAUUUUAGGUAAGGACUUACAUUUAUACAUAACACAUGGAGACCUGUGUCACUGCAUGGCUGUAACAGAGGAUUUACAAACUGUCAGUGAUGUUGAAAAUCUGACAUGUGAUCAUGAGGAAUGUGACACCAGGUUGUUUUUUCAUGCAAAACAUGCUGCACAGGAACACCAAACUGUAGUCAUCAAGAGCCCUGAUACUGAUGUGGCAGUGAUUGCAUUAAGUCUGCAGCCAGAUUUACCAUGCAGAUUGUAUUUUUUCACUGGGGUUGGCAACAAAACGAGGAUCAUUGACUUAUGUAAGGUGUCAUCAGCUCUCGGCAACAGUGUAUGUUUGGCACUUAUUGGGAUCCAUACCUUCUCAGGCUGUGACUCUACAAGUGCCUUUUAUGGCAAGGGGAAAAAAAGUCAUUUUCUGUUGCUUGCGAGAAAGAGGAAUACCUGACUGCAUUUAGAAAUCUGGGUAGCAGUUUUAAUUUGGACCAGUCUACCUUUGAAGUGCUUUGCAAAUAUGUCUGUCACCUAUAUGGCCAAUCAUGUGCUAAAAGUCUGAACGAUGCACGAUACAAAGCAUUCUGCAUGGCAUCAUCAGCUUUGCCAGAAUGAUCCAUGCCUCCGACAAGUGAUGCUUUGUACCAACACUGCAAAAGGGCAAACUACCAAGCAGCCAUAAUGAGACAUUCUCUGAAAGGUAAAAUGUGUGCCCCUUCACCUGUUGGCAAUGGAAAGCACCUCGAGGAUGGGGAGUUAACAGUGACGUGGAUGACUAGAAAUCCAGCCCCUGAUAGUGUGUUGCAGGUUGUCCACUGCAGUUGCAAGCAAGGCAAAUGUGAGACUGGAAGAUGUUCCUGUAUGUCUGCAAAUCUGUCCUGUACAGAUUUAUGCCGCUGUCUCAAUUGCACAAAUGUUUUCCAGGAAACAGAGGAAAGAGCUACAUGUGAAGAUGGUUCUGAUGAAAGUGAUAAGGAUAGUAGUGAUGAGUAAAGGUGAUCUGUGUCACAGGUUACUUGGAUUUGAGCUGUAAUGAAGCUGCUGUAAAAUGUUUAAUAUUUGUCGUUAUUGAAAAAUUAGUGCAGCAGUCCAGCAUUUCAAGUCAUUUUAGCCAACUUGGACCAAAAACUGUUUUUAUCUUUAAUUUUGUGUGAUUCCUAAGUGCCUACUGAACAUUUUGAUAAAUACAACAUAACAAAAAUGUUUAAGUUUCAAUUUGUUCUUCAGUUUUAUUUGGUGCCAAUCGGUGAAGUUGAAGUGCGUUAUAAAAAAAAAUUGAAUUAUUUCAUGGUCUUCCUUCAAAAUUGAGUUGAUUAAUGCACCAAUACUUGUCUCAGAUAUGUAGCUACAUGUAUAAAUGUGGAUUUGACAUAUAUUUUGUUUUGAUUAAAUGCGUAUUAAUAAAGUUACAGGCCAAACUA